This 324-nucleotide unclassified non-coding RNA is filed under the name Bursera simaruba (gumbo limbo). RNAcentral describes it as "partial external transcribed spacer". The record is from RNAcentral. Lineage: Eukaryota; Viridiplantae; Streptophyta; Magnoliopsida; Sapindales; Burseraceae.
UUCGGUAUCCUGUGUUGCUUACCUAUCGAAAGGAAUCCGACGGUUUCGUUGGUCCCUCUCCGCCCUAUGCCCUCGCGGGUUGUGGGGUGGACGUCAGGCAAGCCUCGUGUUCCCGGCACGCUUCGCCCAGUUGCGUGGCUGCCUCGGCCCACGGGGUGCACUGCCCGUGCUCUCGGAUGCGGAACGUUAUGCGUGGGCGUGGGGUCUGUUGGCUCCGUUCGCCCGAGCAACGCACUUGUCCAUCGACGCGAACGACCGUCGCUCCCGUCUCGAGCCCGCGGCCGUCCGGCCCGUCGGGUCUCGUGCGGGCGUCGACGUCGCGAA